AUAACGGUCCUAAGGUAGCGAAAUUCCUUGUCGGGUAAGUUCCGACCCGCACGAAAGGCGUAAUGAUUUGAGCGCUGUCUCGACAAUGCAUCCGGUGAAAUUGAAGUACCAGUGAAGAUGCUGGUUACCUGCGCCAGGACGGAAAGACCCCAUGGAGCUUUACUCCAGUCUGGUACUGGGACUCGGUAUUGCAUGUACAGGAUAGGUGGGAGGCUAGGAGAUGGUAACGCCAGUUGCCAUGGAGCCGCUGUUGGGAUACCACCCUUGCAGUAUUGGGUUUCUAACCAGCCGCCGUGACCCGGCGGUGGGACAAUGCCAGACGGGGAGUUUGACUGGGGCGGUCGCCUCCGAAAGGGUAUCGGAGGCGCCCAAAGGUUCCCUCAGAAUGGACGGAAACCAUUCGAAGAGUGCAAAGGCAGAAGGGAGCUUGACUGCGACACCGACGGGUGGAGCAGGUACGAAAGUAGGACUUAGUGAUCCGGUGGUAUAAAGUGGGAUUGCCAUCGCUCAACGGAUAAAAGCUACCCUGGGGAUAACAGGCUUAUCACUCCCAAGAGUUCACAUCGACGGAGUGGUUUGGCACCUCGAUGUCGGCUCAUCGCAUCCUGGGGCUGUAGUAGGUCCCAAGGGUUGGGCUGUUCGCCCAUUAAAGCGGUACGCGAGCUGGGUUCAGAACGUCGUGAGACAGUUCGGUCCCUAUCCGGCGUGGGCGUAGGAUAUCUGAGAGGAGCUGUCCUUAGUACGAGAGGACCGGGAUGGACGGGCCGCUGGUGCAUCGGUUAGACUGCCAAGUCUACGGCCGAGUAGCCAAGCCCGGAAGGGAUAAACGCUGAAGGCAUCUAAGCGUGAAGCCCCCCUUAAGAUGAGAUAUCCCAUUCGAAAGAAGUAAACCCCCUUGAAGACGACGAGGUAGAUAGGGCAGAGGUGGAAGUGCAGUAAUGCAUGGAGCUGACUGUUACUAAUCGGGUGAGGGCUUGACCAA
This 982-nucleotide ribosomal RNA is filed under the name human gut metagenome. RNAcentral's name for it is "bacterial LSU rRNA". It matches the Rfam family "Bacterial large subunit ribosomal RNA", at positions 1942 to 2925 of the family's 2925-position model. The record is from RNAcentral.